AACUUAGUAAAAGAAAACUCUAAGAAUGACUACAAAUACUACUGCUACUAACAAUGAUACUAAUUAAUCAUAAGGAGAAGAAGAAAAGACAUUUAACUGUUUCCUAACUCGCUGGUGAAGCCCUGUAGACAAAAGGUUUGAGGAAAGCUGACAAUUACAUGAAUAAUAUCUAUUCUCUUGAUUAAAUUAGUAAGCCCAAACAAACUUAUAUCAACCAUGUUUACCAAGGCUUUUGCAAGACUGUUGAUUAAUGUAGCAAAUAAUCAGUGUUUGAAAAAGCAUCCAAAAGUCUCUCUUGAGAAAAAGUAAAUAUAUCAGGUUAAAAUAUUACCUUGGUAAAAGUGAAAGUCAUCCAUACGAACAGUAUUUGAGUAAAAGUCUUAAAAACAGUAUCACAAAUACAAACAAAAGUAAAUUAUACAUAUUUGCAUGUAUGUAUUGUACAUUCUGGGUCGACUGAUGAUUGGCAGUAUAACGUAGCUAAAAAUAACAAUACUCAAGUAAAAUACAAGUACUUACGUAACAAAUUGCUUUCAGUACACUGCUUACGUUACUCACUAAAUUACUACUUUAAUCAUUCCCUUAAGAAUCUUAUGAGUAUUUCAGCUGUUGUUCUAAAUAUAGAAAUAUAUAUCAAAAAAAUCUGUAUCUCUGAAGAUCUCUAUUAUUGUUUUGCAUGCACUUUGACAGGCUGGUUGUGAGAGAAGCAACAGCUCCUUCUGAGUGAAAUAUCUUUGAACAGUCGUAGAAAAAACCUGAAAAACUGGACACCUGUCAUUUGUGGAAUGGCGGUGAUGUGUUCCCAUUGUCCUUGGGAUCACAUGACCACGUGAAAGGGAAGAUGAUUUCGCUUGAGAGCAGUAGACUGCCGUCCCGUUUUCAUUCCUCGUUUAUAGAGAGCUGUCGACGCAUGUUUGGUCUACAGUCAGUGACUAUGAAAAUACUAAUCUUUGUAGCGUGUAUGUACCUACUUCUUCCUGUUCAGGCUGAUGACAUGGAACACUACACCUAUUGCGAGAGUUGUCUAACAGCAGCACGAGAGAUUGAGAAAGCCAUGAAGGAAGCCCCAGCUGACAGCAGACAGACAGUAGUCAAGAGCCUCCUCAGUGGUGGUGUGUGUGAGAAAAUGCUGUCCUACAAACAUGACCAUGUCUCAAAGGACAAAAUGACAUCUUCUUGCAUGCACUUGUUUGAAUCUAAUCAUGACCAGUUCAAUCUCGCUUUGGUAAAUAAAGAACCAAAGCAUCUGGAUAUAGUCCUGUGCUACGAGCAAUCCACAGCAUGUGUGGGGGUGAAGCGCCAGUCUUUUGAGGAUUCCAAGAAAAGCACCUUUACAGAAAGUGACAUUGAAGCUCUCCUUCGGGACAACAAGGAAAAUGUGCGCAUUGCUCGACCUACACACUCAGGCUCACCUGUGCACUCAGGAGGGGAGUUGUGAAAACAGCAGCGUCAUUUUGUUUGCUACUGAUUGUAUGGUGGCUUGUUGUCAUGAUACAGUGUGUUUGAUUGUCCGUAUAAUAAAGACAUCAUUGAAAGAUUUUUUUCUGGG
Sparus aurata (gilthead seabream) is the source of this 1549-nucleotide long non-coding RNA. NCBI's taxonomy places the organism in Eukaryota, Metazoa, Chordata, Actinopteri, Spariformes, Sparidae. The record is from Ensembl.